This 253-nucleotide ribosomal RNA is filed under the name uncultured bacterium. RNAcentral's name for it is "partial 16S ribosomal RNA". It matches the Rfam family "Bacterial small subunit ribosomal RNA", at positions 524 to 776 of the family's 1533-position model. The record is from RNAcentral.
UACGUAGGGUGCAAGCGUUAAUCGGAAUUACUGGGCGUAAAGCGUGCGCAGGCGGUUUUGUAAGUCAGUUGUGGAAUCCCCGGGCUCAACCUGGGAACUGCAUCUGUGACUGCAUAGCUAGAGUACGGUAGAGGGGGAUGGAAUUCCGCGUGUAGCAGUGAAAUGCGUAGAUAUGCGGAGGAACACCGAUGGCGAAGGCAAUCCCCUGGACCUGUACUGACGCUCAUGCACGAAAGCGUGGGGAGCAAACAGG